Molecule: ribosomal RNA, 255 nt
Filed under: uncultured bacterium
Lineage: Bacteria
Description: partial 16S ribosomal RNA
Rfam family: Bacterial small subunit ribosomal RNA
Source: RNAcentral
UACGUAGGGUGCAAGCGUUGUCCGGAAUUAUUGGGCGUAAAGAGCUCGUAGGCGGUUUGUUGCGUCGGCUGUGAAAACCUGAGGCUCAACCUCAGGCCUGCAGUCGAUACGAGCAGACUAGAGUGUUGCAGGGGAGACUGGAAUUCCUGGUGUAGCGGUGAAAUGCGCAGAUAUCAGGAGGAACACCGGUGGCGAAGGCGGGGUCUCUGGGCAACAACUGACGCUGAGGAGCGAAAGCGUGGGGGAGCGAACAGG